This 481-nucleotide ribosomal RNA is filed under the name uncultured bacterium. RNAcentral describes it as "bacterial SSU rRNA". It matches the Rfam family "Bacterial small subunit ribosomal RNA", at positions 32 to 524 of the family's 1533-position model. The record is from RNAcentral.
AAUCAACGCUGGCGGCGUGCCUCAGACAUGCAAGUCGAACGAUUAAAGCUCUCUUCGGAGAGUGCAUAAAGUGGCGCACGGGUGAGUAACACGUAAGUAAUCUACCCUCGAGUGGGGAAUAACGUCCGGAAACGGACGCUAAUACCGCAUAAUGCAGCGGCACCGCAAGGUGACAGUUGUUAAAGAUUUAUCGCUUGAGGAGGAGCUUGCGGCAGAUUAGCAGUUGGUAAGGUAAUGGCUUACCAAGGCUACGAUCUGUAACCGGUCUAAGAGGACGGUCGGUCACACUGACACUGAAUAACGGGUCAGACUCCUACGGGAGGCAGCAGUCGGGAAUUUUGGGCAAUGGGGGAAACCCUGACCCAGCAACGCCGCGUGAAGGAUGAAGUAUUUCGGUAUGUAAACUUCGAAAGAAUAGGAAGAAUAAAUGACGGUACUAUUUAUAAGGUCCGGCUAACUACGUGCCAGCCGCCGCUGUAAU